AUGAAGAAGAUCUUGUUCAGCAUGUUCUAUUCGAUACUGGUAGUAGAAGAACCCGACUCGGUAUUCUUAAAAAAAGAGGGGAAGCAGAACCAAGUCAAGAUGAUAUGGGUCGCCCCUUCUUCUUGCUCCAAAGAUCUUACCAUUUCCGAAGGAACUGGGGCUACAUUUCUUUUCAAUUUCCAUUCAAGAGUUUCCCCUACAUACGUGGUUACCAGAUACUCAUGGGGAAGCACAUUAUAG
RNAcentral lists this ribosomal RNA (240 nucleotides) under Triticum aestivum (bread wheat). Its description in RNAcentral is "partial small subunit ribosomal RNA". Lineage: Eukaryota; Viridiplantae; Streptophyta; Magnoliopsida; Poales; Poaceae. The record is from RNAcentral.